RNAcentral lists this ribosomal RNA (567 nucleotides) under uncultured bacterium. Its description in RNAcentral is "partial 16S ribosomal RNA". It matches the Rfam family "Bacterial small subunit ribosomal RNA", at positions 355 to 914 of the family's 1533-position model. The record is from RNAcentral.
UGGGGAAUUUUGGACAAUGGGGGCAACCCUGAUCCAGCCAUCCCGCGUGUGCGAUGAAGGCCUUCGGGUUGUAAAGCACUUUUGGCAGGGAAGAAACAGCCUGGGAUAAUACCCCGGGCGACUGACGGUACCUGCAGAAUAAGCACCGGCUAACUACGUGCCAGCAGCCGCGGUAAUACGUAGGGUGCAAGCGUUAAUCGGAAUUACUGGGCGUAAAGCGUGCGCAGGCGGUUCGGAAAGAAAGGUGUGAAAUCCCAGGGCUUAACCUUGGAACUGCACUUUUAACUACCGAGCUAGAGUACGUCAGAGGGGGGUAGAAUUCCACGUGUAGCAGUGAAAUGCGUAGAGAUGUGGAGGAAUACCGAUGGCGAAGGCAGCCCCCUGGGCCAAUACUGACGCUCAUGCACGAAAGCGUGGGGAGCAAACAGGAUUAGAUACCCUGGUAGUCCACGCCCUAAACGAUGUCAACUAGUUGUUGGGGAUUCAUUUCCUUAGUAACGUAGCUAACGCGUGAAAGUUGACCGCCUGGGGAGUACGGUCGCAAGAUUAAAACUUAAAUGAAUUGAC